Molecule: ribosomal RNA, 801 nt
Filed under: uncultured soil archaeon
Lineage: Archaea
Description: bacterial SSU rRNA
Rfam family: Archaeal small subunit ribosomal RNA
Source: RNAcentral
CGAGGCGUACGGCUCAGUAACACGUAGUCAACCUACCCUGGAGACGCGGACAAUCGCGGGAAACUGCGUCUAAUACACGAUAGAUGACCUCCUCUGGAAGGAGAGGUCGUCGAAAAGGAUGCACGGGUAUGCUCCGUGCAUUCGCUCCAGGAUGGGACUGCGGCCGAUCAGGCUGUUGGCGGGGCAAUGGCCCACCAAACCUGUAACCGGUACGGGCUUUGAGAGAAGGAGCCCGGAGAUGGACACUGAGACAAGGGUCCAGGCCCUACGGGGCGCAUCAGGCGCGAAAACUUCGCAAUGCGCGAAAGCGUGACGAGGCUAGUCCGAGUGCUUCCCGCUGAGGGGAGCUUUUCUCGGCUGUAAAUAGGCCGGGGAAUAAGGGGAGGGCAAGUCUGGUGUCAGCCGCCGCGGUAAUACCAGCUCCUCGAGUGGUCGGGACGAUUAUUGGGCCUAAAGCACCCGUAGCCGGUUCGGUGAGUCCUCUGUCAAAUCCAACCGCUCAACGGUUGGCUCGCAGAGGAUACUGCCGGACUAGGAGGCGGGAGAGGCGGACGGUACUCCGCGUGUAGGGGUAAAUCCUAUAAUCCCGGGAAGACCACCAGUGGCGAAGGCUGUCUGCUAGAACGCGCCCGACGGUGAGGGAUGAAAGCCGGGGGAGCGAACCGGAUUAGAUACCCGGGUAGUCCCAGCUGUAAACGAUGCAGGCUAGGUGUUUGGACGGCCACGUGCCGUUCUAGUGCCGCAGGGAAGCUGUUAAGCCUGCCGCCUGGGGUACGAUCGGAAGAUUGAACUUAAAGGCCA